ACUACAUAUCUUCAGGUAAAUGAG
This 24-nucleotide non-coding RNA is filed under the name Arabidopsis thaliana (thale cress). The record is from RNAcentral. Lineage: Eukaryota; Viridiplantae; Streptophyta; Magnoliopsida; Brassicales; Brassicaceae.